This is a long non-coding RNA of Camponotus floridanus (Florida carpenter ant), 590 nucleotides long. RefSeq lists it as uncharacterized. NCBI's taxonomy places the organism in Eukaryota, Metazoa, Arthropoda, Insecta, Hymenoptera, Formicidae. The record is from RefSeq and is a predicted model, not a curated record. The transcript has 3 exons.
AUUUCACGUUGCUUCGAUAUUUCGAGAAUCGCAAUUCACUUCUCGAUAGAUUUCAAAUGGCGGUCGAUCGCGCAACAGUUCGCGGAUCGCGGAGUCGCGUUCGAAUCGCUGCGUGCAUUUCUCGUGAGUGUUUCCGUCUAAAAGUGAACUUCGGACGCGAAAACAUGUCGCGAGUGUUUUGCGAAGUGUGUCGGACGUGUGCCGUAACGCGUUAAAACCCGACGAGUUCAUUUGGCGGAGAAUUCGUUCAAGCAUCUUUGACGAUGCCAAUCUGCAAUGAUGACGCAAGAGACAUAAUGUAGCAAGAUAGAGCGAGAAAUAAACGGAUUUCGGCGCAAAAUGGGAAAAGAGAGAAACCGAAGGAAAGAGAAGGACAGAAAGAGAGAGAGAGAGAGAGAGAGAGAAAAUCGCGUUUCCUUCAGCAUCUUUUCACUGUCGGCAUACUUCCUGGACACCGUGUGCAUCGCAUUACAACGUAGCAAUGAAAUAUCUGGGACGUGCUACUUACCAGUCAGAGUAUCGUCUUUCCUCUCUGCCACAUGACGCUGAUCCGCCGCGACGCCGUUCCGCUGCUUCUCGGCAUCGCCAAA